GAGAGUAUAGCUCAGUGGCAGAGCGUGUUCCUAGCAAGUACAAGGUCCUGGGUUUUAUCCGCAGUACCUCCA
Molecule: transfer RNA, 72 nt
Filed under: Camelus bactrianus (Bactrian camel)
Lineage: Eukaryota; Metazoa; Chordata; Mammalia; Artiodactyla; Camelidae
Also listed under: 2 other names
Rfam family: tRNA
About the family: Transfer RNA (tRNA) molecules are approximately 80 nucleotides in length.
Source: Rfam by way of RNAcentral